AGGUGUCUGUCCAGUGUGUGGACAACCCUAUGGCUUAUGAUGUGAUGGUGUAUGAGGACAAGAGCUUCUACCACACUCCUGUACCUCAGGUGUCUGUCCAGUGUGUGGACAACCCAGUGGGUAAAGGUGUGAAGGUGUAUGAGGAGAAGAGCUUCUACCACACUCCUGUACCUCAGUGAUGCCAGCUGUUGUCUCUACCAUAUGAAGAUGCCAAUGAUCACGAAGCACAACUGUUCUUUGCUAUGCACUGUAGGUGGUGAAAGGAAUCGGCUUAUAGUAUGCUGUUAUGUUUGAAGAUUCUCAUUCAUCCAUUUCAUGUUUAUAGAUUGUUAUGCUGCCCGUCUGUGCAUGCAUGUGUUUGUGCGUGUUUGCGUGUGUGCGUACACACAAUUACACACAAUCAUUGCCGUACUCAAAGACUGAACUGAUGGGGUCUACUCUAUUUGUACUAUUCACUGUGGAAUUUCUUGACUUUGUACAUUCCUGCAAAUAUGUAAUAUGCAAUAUGAACUUUGUAUAUAUAACUACUGUAUAUACUUUUCUAAAAAAGUAUUUUUUUGUGUGCUGCGUGAUCAUGAAAAAUGCACUAUGCAAAGUGAGUAUUUAAUUUUGGAUAUCGAGCAAAUAGACACUGGAGUGGUUGGAUUGGAAUAUUUUAGUUCUGUACGGCCAAAGCGAAGAUGAAUACACACAAGUGUUGUUCCGUGCACUCAUACAGACUGGAUCUUUUAUAUGUAUGCUGUGCAGGAAUACACUUAAAAGUGGAUAGAAAUAACUAAGGAACAGAAAUGAAUGUGUAUUAUGUAGUAUGAAAACAGUUUGUCACAGUGCCUUGUACUAAGAAACCAAAUGUACAACAGUCAAUGAUAUUGAGCACUUUCCAAUGCAUCUUAAGUGCCUUACCAGGGAGCCACCAGUGCCUUGUAGGGAAGCCAGAAUGUUAAUCAGGUGAUGCUUAUGGGACCAAAUUGAAUGAGCCGGUCUGGAAAGCAAACUGGAACAUAAGGGAAACCCCUAGUCUUUGAUUAAAGUGCACGUUGUAAUAUGUUAGUAUGUGCGUAUUACACAUGUGUGUGUUUUUUAUUGCUCACUUAGCAGGAUGUUUAGGAACAGAAUUUUUUUUCUUUUAAGGGGAAUGAAGGGAUGUCAAUAAAAACUUCAUUUCAUUUCAACAGUCUUGUACUAUUUGACAUGUAGGUGUCAUAUUUUUUUUAUUAUUUGUAUGUGCCUUUCUGUUGUAAGCCAUGUGAACGAGUUGCUGAUCAUUACUCCAAUUGUGCAAUGAAGUCUUGCCUCUGCCAACAAAGUGCUAAUUUGUCAAAAGUCUGUAAAACAUACUUUAAUAAUAAACUAU
Engraulis encrasicolus (European anchovy) is the source of this 1354-nucleotide long non-coding RNA. RefSeq lists it as uncharacterized. The record is from RefSeq and is a predicted model, not a curated record. The transcript has 3 exons. NCBI's taxonomy places the organism in Eukaryota, Metazoa, Chordata, Actinopteri, Clupeiformes, Engraulidae.